Molecule: long non-coding RNA, 371 nt
Filed under: Hordeum vulgare
Lineage: Eukaryota; Viridiplantae; Streptophyta; Magnoliopsida; Poales; Poaceae
Description: long non-coding RNA (HVUL_LNC008966)
Source: RNAcentral
AAAGAAACAGUUGUAUUUUCGGAUCUUUUCUAGUUUCGAAAGCAGACUAAGGAAUACAACAGUGGUGCUUAAAGUGCCAUAAAGAAGAAAGUUUAAAGAUACGCCAUUUCUUCAGUGAAGAUGGAGUAAUCUGGGGGAGCAUGUUGUAUGACCUAUACAACACCUGUUGUUAGCUCUACAAGGGAUCUUGUGAUACAGGUCCCUGUAAAACCUAUUGCCUUUUGGAAAUGGGUGACUAUAGAAUUAAUUGCCUCUUGGCAAUGAUAGAGCAACGACCACCCCAUAUGAAAGAAGUGCCAGUACCUGAGAUUUUGAUGGUCUCUAGGAAUGUGAAAAUCAGAUACUUGUGACUACUAUAAAGUCUAUGUUAG